UCGCAUCUGUGCAUGCAGCAUAUCAAUAAGCGGAGGAAAAGAAACUAACAAGGAUUCCCUCAGUAACGGCGAGUGAAGCGGGAAGAGCUCAAAUUUGAAAUCUUCAAGGUUUUACCUUGACGAAUUGUAGUUUAAAGAAGUGUUAUCUGCCUGAAGUUUUGGUAAAAGUUCUUUGGAAUAGGACAUCAUAGAGGGUGAGAAUCCCGUAUUUGACCUUUACUUUCAACUUUGUGAUACACUUUCAAAGAGUCGGAUUGUUUGGGAAUGCAGUCCAAAAUGGGUGGUAAAUUUCAUCUAAAGCUAAAUAUUGGCGAGAGACCGAUAGCGAACAAGUACCGUGAGGGAAAGAUGAAAAGAACUUUGAAAAGAGAGUUAAACAGUACGUGAAAUUGUCAAAAGGGAAGCGUUUGACACCAGUGUUGUUUUUCUGAAAAUCAAUUAAAGAACUGUUUAUGCUAAGCUGUUUAGACUUUAUCAGCUAACUGUUUAGUCUUGAGCUUUUCUUUAAUGCACUUUUCAGUUAACAAGUCAACAUCAAUUUCUUUUGCUGUAAAAAAGCUUGAGGAAGGUGGCUUGAGAUUCGUCUUAAGUGUUUAUAGCCUCUUGCCUAUGCAGUCGGAGAGAUUGAGGUCUGCAGCGUAGAUCCUUCGGGGCUAAAUGCAUUUGUGCUAAGUUAUAGCAUUUUAUAGACAACUUGUUGACUAUGAUUUGUCUUGUAGCUUACUCGCUUAUGCUAUUUUACCUACGCUUAGGAUGUUGACGAUCAGCUGAGCGCG
Molecule: ribosomal RNA, 776 nt
Filed under: uncultured Neocallimastigales
Lineage: Eukaryota; Fungi; Neocallimastigomycota; Neocallimastigomycetes; Neocallimastigales
Description: partial large subunit ribosomal RNA
Rfam family: Eukaryotic large subunit ribosomal RNA
Source: RNAcentral